AUGUCUUUUCAUUGGUUUUAUUUUGCAUGGCUAUUUCUCAUAAUUUGUUUGAGAGUAGAGCUAUCAAAUGCUCAAAUUCAUAAAAGAGAUGGAAAUAGGUUAUAUCCUUAUAAAACAAUAGUUGUUGAUCCAAAGAGGAGAGAAUGUUUCUCUACUAUACAAUCUGCCAUUGAUUCUAUACCUUCAAACAAUAGGUAUUGGACUUCGAUUAAUAUCAAAGCAGGUUACUACAGGGAGAAGUUGACGAUUCCAUAUGAUAAGCCUUAUAUCAUUAUUAGAGGAGAGGGAAUGAGCAAUACUUUGGUUGAAUGGGAUGACCAUGCAACCACUGUGCAGAGCCCUACGUUUUUUAUCAUGGCUGACAAUGUUGUUGUCAAGUAUAUCACUUUUAGG
Non-coding RNA from Vicia faba (fava bean), 393 nucleotides. Lineage: Eukaryota; Viridiplantae; Streptophyta; Magnoliopsida; Fabales; Fabaceae. The record is from the annotation of a GenBank genome assembly.